AUUGAACGCUGGCGGAAUGCUUUACACAUGCAAGUCGAACGGCAGCACGGACUUCGGUCUGGUGGCGAGUGGCGAACGGGUGAGUAAUACAUCGGAACGUGCCCGGACGUGGGGGAUAACUACUCGAAAGAGUGGCUAAUACCGCAUACGAUCUAAGGAUGAAAGCGGGGGAUCGCAAGACCUCGCGCGUUUGGAGCGGCCGAUGGCAGAUUAGGUAGUUGGUGAGGUAAAGGCUUACCAAGCCCGCGAUCUGUAGCUGGUCUGAGAGGAUGAUCAGCCACACUGGGACUGAGACACGGCCCAGACUCCUACGGGAGGCAGCAGUGGGGAAUUUUGGACAAUGGGCGAAAGCCUGAUCCAGCCAUUCCGCGUGCAGGAUGAAGGCCCUCGGGUUGUAAACUGCUUUUGUACGGAACGAAAAAGCUCUUGCUAAUACCAGGAGUCCAUGACGGUACCGUAAGAAUAAGCACCGGCUAACUACGUG
This 484-nucleotide ribosomal RNA is filed under the name uncultured organism. Its description in RNAcentral is "bacterial SSU rRNA". It matches the Rfam family "Bacterial small subunit ribosomal RNA", at positions 30 to 507 of the family's 1533-position model. The record is from RNAcentral.